Osmia lignaria (orchard mason bee) is the source of this 8508-nucleotide non-coding RNA. NCBI's taxonomy places the organism in Eukaryota, Metazoa, Arthropoda, Insecta, Hymenoptera, Megachilidae. The record is from RefSeq and is a predicted model, not a curated record.
AGGAACAGGUGCUGUUGUGACAUUGAAGAGGUUUGUAGCUGCCAUCCUUUUCACACUGAGGAGGUGGUAUUGCCAAGGACAUGUCAUCCCUUGUCCCUUCCAUGCGGUCGUUGAAUUCUCGCAGGACCUUCGCGGCCCAUAAUCUCUAUUUCUACGCUUCUGAAAUGAAAGGCAUCUUACUAGUCUGUGGCUUGGUCGAAUUAGCCGAGGUCAUACAGCACACCGACUGUCCAGCUUCCGGUACAGCGGUGCAUUUAUAACCCAUUGGACAGGUAUCAUUUGCUGAGCAUGUCACCGCGUUACGUUCUUCAUCGAUUAAAGGAGUUCCAUAGACGCAGGGGCUCUUGUAAGUUUUCUUCGCUUUGCAUUCUGGCCUCGUUGGACAAAGAAAGUCUGGACAACCAUCUUCGCGAUUUAGUACACAUUCUUCUCCUACUGGACAAGGAAACCUGAGGAACGAUGACAUUCAGACUGGUGAAACGAUGUUACCGAACGCUUUACUCGAAUAAUUGACAGUUUCAAGUUUACCCUUCGCAAGGAUUAUCGCAUUCGCAAGUUGGACAGCCGGAAGCAUCGGUUUUAAAGCCGUACUGGCAAACUUGUGCGCACUGCUGGGAAACGCAGGAUGCCGGAAGGGACCUCCCCUUCGUUAUCGACUUGCAAUCGACUUUCUCCGCCGGUCCCAUGCUGCCGGUUAUCUUCCGACCGUUGUUAUCCACGCACCAACAAACCAGUCCGUUCCUCGAACAUUGUCUGGUCUCGUAACUUCCAUCUGAAAUAUUAAUUAGAACGUUAAUGAGGAUGAAGCUUAUUAUUAUUAUUAUUAUUAUUAUUAUUAUUAUUAUUAUUAUUAUACGGGCAUUUGCCCAUUCAUACACAUACGUAAUAUAUACAUAAAUAUAGUACUUGCACAAGUACAACAUUUGAUUAUGUUCCUGAUUAAGAAUUGGGCCUGACUGAUAGCCCCAACCCCGCAGAGUGCAUACGUGACGACAAUUACUCAGUAAUUACAUACCAAUGCUACAAUGAUACCCCGAAAUGUUCAAGGUUAAUGCUGAAAUAAUCUGCAGAUUUUAGUCUUAUUGUUAGUGCUGCUGGUAAAGUUGUUAAAGAUGUCGAUCAUCGCUUGAUAUAAAUGGACUGUUUUGCAUGAUCUACAUAUAGGAUCAGUAUGUCCAAACCUUAAGGAGUAUCGAGGUGGUAGGAAUAACUUAGAGGGCCUGACAGCAUGCUGAGGCAGGUGAAAGUUAAUCUGCUCGAGUAGGGUGCAGCAGUUGAUGAUACGCUGAAUGAAGAGUACCUCAGCUAUGCUUCUUCUAUUCUCAAGAGUCAGUAUAUUGAAACGAUUCAUGAUUUCUUCAUAAUUAUGGUCAACUCAUUAUACUCUACAGAUCAUUGGAUGAUCUGUCCUAGUGGAGAGGAACCACAAAGAUCUGUGUUGCACCCUUUCGAGAGUGCAAGCUAGGAGCCCAUAUGACAGAGGCAUAUUCAGAAUAAUUCAAUUCAGAAGCAUAUUCAAAAAUAACUAGAAGUGGAAAAGAAAUGGUCACCCAAUUACCGUCGCAAGAGUCAACUUAAAAAGGUACACUGCUCCCAACCAGAAUAUCCUUAUAGCCAUCAACCAAAGCAGUAACUUAGCCAAGAUUUAAAGGGAUCAGUAAUCCCUGAAUUUCUCUCACCUUCGGUACACUGUGGGACGUAUCCGCGACCCUGUCUCUCGGAUAUGCUGAGCAUCUCGGCCAGCACUCUGUCCCUAUGGCAGGCGCUAAGACCUUGAGGUAUAGAACAAACACCUCCGCCGCAUUUCUCGCUGGUACAGCAUUUCUGUGGAUCAGGACAUUCUAAAUCAUGCUGACACGAGUUGCCGCAUAUAGCCGGUUCCUCUAACGGGCAUGUUCCCGCUCGUUUCAGAUUGAUGCUCGAAGGGCAACAGACUCCGUACUCUUGUUUCGGCUCCACCAAGCAGCUGUACAUCGGCGGGCAGGUCGGUUUGCCGGGUGAGUCGCCGCAGAGAAAUGGCCUCGGUGAAUCUGUGAUUUGCAACGGUUCACCAGCCGGGCAUAUAGUCGACAGGGAUUUCGCUUUACGACAGCUGGGAAUUGGCGGACACGGUGGACGAGCGCACGUUACAUCAAUCAACUCGCACGUUUGACUGGUCCCUGGACAGAUGAUGCCGCGGCAAGGAUCCCGGCAUUCGCAUUUCGGGCAGCCAGUUUUAGCCUCAAUCUGUCGAUUCAAAUGAGAAAUCGCUCGAAUGUAGUGUCGUGUUAACAGACCGUUAACAAAAUUGGUAAAAUUUUUUUUUUUUUAUCAAAAAUGUGGUGAAAUUUUUAAGCGACCUAGUAUAAUUAAAUCUUUUAUGAAUUUUUCCCCGCUAGAGAGAGAAAAUCACCAUUCUUCGACGUCGCGUCGUUCGGUUAUUUCUGCAAACGGUAAAAGCAACGGUAACGAGAUUACAGAGUGGUCAUUUGCGACAUCAUUCACUGCCGCAAUACGUGGCCUCGGUUGACUAAUUGAUUGCCAGCAAAACUAUAGAGUAUAGCCUGUCGAUCAAUUAUCGCCUACACAAUUUUCUGACGUUACUUCAAUCAUGCAUUCGUUACCAUAAUGGAUGAGAAUUUAAUCGUCAUUUUAAUCGGAGAAUUACCUCGAAACCUAACGGACACAACAUUCGACAGCUAUGAGCUGGACAUUUUCUAGGAUUGUCGCAGUCGAUAACAUCUUUGCUGGACCCUCUGGUUCCAGGAACUUCAGCGCCGAUUUUGUCGACGCACCAGCACCUGUUCUCACGGGGAUGGCAUUGUAUCCUUUCGAAUUCGCCAGUUUCGUUGUUACACUUUGGUAUGAAUUGGGAUAGUCCACGAGGGCCCAGGGCACGGGAUCUUCUUAUGGCUGCUUGGGCCAAUUGCUCGCAUCCUGUCAGCUCGCCGAGGACACAUUUCUUACCGCAGGAUGUCUUACAGCAACGUUCACCCCCAGCUUGACAUUGGAAGUCAUUUUCGCAGGAUGGCGCUCGCGAUGGGCACACGUUCUGCUCCUCGAAGGAUGGGCAUCGACCUACCGUCUUCAACGGUGGUUCUGGAAAAUCAAACGGGAGGUCUUUAAGCGAGUUACCCAGCGUAACUGGUGGGAAUGAUAAUGCUGGUUAGAGUUACCGUUUUUCAUGGGAAAUAUGCCAUGCUGGAAAUAGCUAUUUCAAGGCUUUAAUUAUUCAGGAUAGAAAUUUGCAAAUUUUAUUAUUUGAAAAUUCAGCUACCCUUCAUUUCGAAAAGCGGAUACUAACUGGGAAUUCGAACUCGAUUCGAAUACUCGAAACUCUGAAUUAUCAAAUUAAAAAAUUCUUAUUUCUACUUCUGAAAUCCUGAAAUUCCCAUUUCUAAAUAAUUUUCACCUCGAAGCACUAAAUUUCUUAAUUUUUAAAAUUCACACCUUCACCAUUGACCAUCGUUAGAAACUUGAUUUCUUUUAAGAGAUACAGAAUUAAGUAUCCCUGGCGAAUGACGCAGCCAAGCAUGGCGCCACUCCGUUUAUUAAUUAAGGAACCUCCGAAAAAUAUUCGUCUGGCUCGCAAAGUGUCGGAACGGCUCGGUAAAAAGCGGCACACCUUGACACAAAUUUAUUCAAGAGCACAUUCGGCUGGUUUUGAAGAAGCGAGCCUGUGGUUUAUGGGUCUCGGUUACAAGGAAUACACCUUUAUUGGUCAAGCAUCAUCACGAUCCUCGUGUAUCCCAGCUUGCCUUUGUUCGAUGAAUCAAAGUGUAGCGCAACGACGACGGGAAAUAAUAAUAAAAAUAGCCGGGGAGUCGAGGUAACGGUUCUUCGCAUCCUACUGCCACACUUACUACGCUUACCUAACGUGAUACGAGCACAUUUCCAGAACAAACUCGGCUGAGUCAGACGUUGCGGACUGCCUGAUGGGUCGUAGCCAUAGGCGAGAAGGAAAUAAAGGAAUGCAACUGUGACGAUUGAUUCGAUUAACAGCAACUGCCUCUGGUCACGCGAAACUUUGACGAACGAGUUUCUUCUGGAUCCUCUUACUGAUCACCGCUGGCGUUAAAUAAUCCGGGUCGAUGAUUAUGUUUAGCGAGAACGGAAUAGAAGAGGCUCGGGUCAAGUGCACUCGGGUCUUAUGAACGUUCAGGGACGUUUAAUGGUAAGGCACACUUUUAUUAACACGUUCAGGGGUCAUUUGAAAUUUACCUUUGUCAACGCGACAUGCUUCCAAGGAUUCGUCCGGAGAGUCGGCGACGCAUGGUACUAUGUGUAUACACUACUUAAAUCACAUGUUGAAUAUACAUAUAGGAUAGAUAUAAAUCCAUGUGUCGCAUUUCAAUCGAAUUUUUACUUUGACUCUCUAUACCAGGCCCACUGUAUUCUCUCAUCGUUAAAGAUUUCAUAAAAGUCCAGUGAAACUUCCAGCACAUCCGAUUACCCGAAUUUCCGGUUCGUUGACCAUCGCCCUCUUUCUCUCCUGCCUUUCUACCUCUAUUAUAGCCGUUUCGUGUUAAUCCUCGUGCGAGUUUCCCUGUUACGACAUCCUUUAUCUUGCGAUGGAAUUAUAUUGCACCGUGCAAUAUGACUUUUUCUUCAAAUUAACACCGAACGUAGUUUCGUCAAAAUUUAAUUAGCAAAUUAUAUUGCUAUAAUAUAUUAAAUAAGUGUUAAAAAAUGAUUAGAGUGAUUAGGAUUAUAAUUAGAUUCACAGUCCUUUCCACUAUAUGCAUUUUACAUAGGUGCAACCAGGGCAUUGUAAAACUGUGAAACUUUAUACUUUCACAAUUUUCAUUGAUUGUUCGUGACAGAUAAAUCGAAACCUUCGAUUUUCUACUAUAUUCAAAUUUUAGCUCUCAAUUCUCUACACUAUCAGAAUCUAAGCAUUCAAUUUCCAACUAUAUCCAAAUGAAAUCAUUUAAUUUCCAACUGUCAUCACGGGUAGUCAACAUCUUAACGAAGAGCAAAGCAUCUGUGUAUCCUCUCGGUGUAGUACGAUAGUCAUGAACAAAAGCAUCCGUGGAAUGCGUGUAACGGCAACGGCACAGCGGUAGAUGGAUCAAAAAAGAGACGAGAGACGUAGGAAUGGUAAAAUGGCAAGAAUGUGAAAGAGCGAAGAGAAAACGUAAAGAGGAAAGAUGUACUCGCGGGUCGAGACGAAGGAAUGCGGAGGAAUGUACUUUAACGGUGCGAGAGAAAUUCAAUUUGUUAUUGCCUCUAGCAUGCAAAUCGUUCUGGCCCUGAUAUUUAUCGAGAACGCCGGGAUAUCCUGCUGUAACACAUUGCCAAUCGAUUGAACUUGAGCGUCGUUCGGUCCACACCAUCGGCGAUUUAACCUCGUAAUUAACGUAUCUCGUUAAGUGCGAUCGUUCAUCCGCCUGCAGGAUGUAGCCUGGUUCACCGCUGUAUAAUCCACGGCAAAUAAUUAACUCGUUGAUUAGGGAGACUCGUGGGUCUCCUGGGUAUAUCUACUCAUAUCAAUUGAUACAGGCAUACUUGGUACUUUGUAUUUAAUAUUUGCUAUAUUUUGUUUGGUACUUGACACUCGGCAAUUGGUAUUAGGAAAUUGGUACUUGAUAUUUGGUAUUUCGUACUCGAUGCUCGGUACUCUUCAUUCGGUACUCUUCCUUCGAUACUCGAUUCUAGGUACUUUUCAUUCCAUACUCGGUACUCGAUACCCGGCACUCUUCAUUUGAUACUUUGUACUCGAUAAUCUUCAUUCGAUACUUGGUACUCGGUACUCUGUAUUCGAUACUUUUCGUUCGAUACUCGAUUCUAGGUACUUUCCAUUCCAUACUCGGUACUCGACACUCUUCAUUCGAUACUUUGUACUCGGUAAUCUUCAUUCCAUAUUUGGUACUCGGUACUCUGUACUGUGCACUUUUCAUUCAAUUCUCAGUACUCGGUACUCUUCAUUCGAUACUCUGUACUCAGUCCUCUGUAUUCGAUACUCUUCGUUCGAUACUCGAUUCUAGGUACUUUUCAUUCCAUACUCGGUAUUCGAUAUUCAGUACUCGGUACUCUUCAUUCGAUAUUCGGUACUUGGUACUCGAUAGCGAUAAUACCAUUAAAGUUUAUCUACUCCGCUAUAACACUUACAUUCGAGUGAAAGAAAUUUCCUUUUACCACUUACAUAAUUACGUACUUAUUCUGUACUUGCAUAAUUAGGUAUUUACAUAAGUAAAUUCUAUUUCUCCACUGGCUACUGUUUACCAUAAUAGAGAAUCAAGUAAAAGUUUUCCUUUUUCAAUUUCACAAUAAACUUGAACGAGCAAACUUUACCGUGAGAGGUGUCUUUGAACGGGCUAAAAGGGAGGAUUAGAGGCAACCAUUGGUUUGCCUUCUCCCAGGAGAGUUGUUGGUCUUUCGCAACAUCACAAGGACGAAUCUCUGUCCGACGAACGAUUCUCGAAAUCCGAUCACGUUUCUGUUCGUUGCAUUAUAUGCAGAUACACGCCCGUUUCGAGAGCUUGCUUUCCAUUUUUUUUUUCUCUCUCUCUCCUUCCCCUACACACACUUCGUCCCUCGUCGAACGUGAACACGACGAGGCUCUAUUGUUUGCUAAUGGCCGCUCUUUCAAUAAUUCGGGACCAAUCAUUACGGACGAACGAAGCUGGCGGCCAGGAACUAGGGAUGAGGGAAAUCGGUGGGAAAAAAAAAAAUGGAAUAAUGUCGAUGGAAAAAGGUAGACGUACCUGCUGUGACCGAUGAUGACAAAGAUAAUAGCAGACAGGUCGAUGACACCCACACAACGGCGCAGGCAAGCCCACCGUUGCAGAAAUCACGGCGCAUCCUCAGCGCAUCAAGUGAUUUUUUAAUCGGCCUCUAUAUCUAUAAUCAGAAGAAGAAAAAAGAAUCGAAAUUAAUAGCGCUGUUAAAUAAUCGAUUAAACAGAAUGUUCAUUUAACAGAAUGAAUUGUUCACUUUUUUAAAAUUUCUUCAUUUAUUUUCAAUUUUGACCUUCAAUUUGAAUAUUGGCAAUUUCGCGGGUACCCGAGAAGUCGAUUAAAUCUGCAUUGGAUUUAGAUUGAAUCUUGAUUGAGAACCUCUGCAAGAAAUUACUAGAGCAUAUUUGGAUUGAAUUAGAAAGCGAGUUAGAAUUGAACUAGGUCUGGGUUAAAUUCCUAACGUACCAAGAAUUAUUAAUAAAAUGGCCUGACAUAAAUAAUAGGAUAAAUGCAAAGAAUAUUUUGUUCGUUCAAUUAAAGAUUAAUCGACGAAAUAAUUAAUAUAGAAAGAAUAUUGGCACGCUUAAGGGCAGAUCAGAUCCCGUUUUCCCGUAGAAUUUGUUAAACUUCUUUCAAACUUGCGUCUCGCGUUUUGAGGCCAAUAAAAGCCAAGAUUAUAGAUCCAGUAAUGGAAAAACUUUCCGGCCGAGAAAUCAAAACUCGUCGACGCGAAUGCAAGGAGCACUCUUUUCAUUUCUACCUUCAAAACGAACUCGUCGAAAUGGAAAAAAAAGGGUAACAACACGGUUCAAUUGAAAUGAAAUCUAUCUCGUACGUUGAAACGUUUUCAACAAUAAUAAUAGAAAAAAAUUCUCUUUGGUUAUUUUGUGGACAGACCAGAGAAUUGAUUUUGCAAUUCAAGAUACGAAUCAAUAAUUAGUUUAACGAGUAAUGCUUUUAGUAAAAUCAUGGACGAUAGACAAUUUAAAGAUUGUCAGGUUUGAAAUAAAGGAAAAUAACAAGGAAAGUUAUGUCUCCUUAUUCGUUAUACCGCAGUGAAUAUUCUAAUGCAUUCCUCUCCGUUAUUCAUGAGCCGUGGUUGGCUUCGGGAUCUACGAAUUGUCAGGUCGUUUUCGUUUCUUUUCACCUCCCUUUGUUCCUCGUUACAAGUUCGACGAGGACGUUGCCUUUCUUUUCGUUUGCCAGCUCGUGGAUAUUUUCAUUGUGACCAUCGUUCCUUGGGUAAAAAGAUGAUUAAAAGAAAAAACAGAGGUGUUUUUCUUUCAAUAGCCGAUUGGUUGCUGCUGCAAUUCUUUCUCUUCUCUUCUUAUCAAUAUUUCAUUCGUGUUUCUCUAACUACAUUAAUCUUUUUUCUUUUAAUCUUAUUUCUAUGGUGAAUGCAGGGUGAAUCGCGACUCAGAUCUAUAGUAACAGAUUUUUAAAAUAACCCUUUCAUGCACGAAUCUUUCUAUGUAAACAGUUUUUUAAAUUUUACUUGCAUAAGGGGUUUACGGGGUCGCUGAUUACGAAUCUGGGAUCAGAUUUUCAAAAUUCAUGAUGGCGAAUUCACAGCGACAGCAAUAUUUUCAAUUCCUGAUCAGCCAUAUUGAAUUUCGAAAAUCUGAAUCCAGAUUUGUAAUCAGCGUUCCGGAAAACCCUUAUAUUCAAAAUUUCACAACAUCAGCGAUAUUUUCUAUUUUUUUGGUCUGCCAUAUUGGAUCCGCCAUCUUGGAUUUUAAAAGUCUGAUUCCAGUUCCGUAAUCAGUGACUCCAAAAAUAUAAAUCAGCAUCAAAAUAUCAAUAUGUUCACAUUCGAAUUUUAUCAGAAUCGAUUUAAAAAAAAAAAAAA